RNAcentral lists this long non-coding RNA (272 nucleotides) under Theobroma cacao (cacao). Its description in RNAcentral is "long non-coding RNA (TCAC_LNC000774)". Lineage: Eukaryota; Viridiplantae; Streptophyta; Magnoliopsida; Malvales; Malvaceae. The record is from RNAcentral.
AAAAUGAAAAAUUUACCUUGUUAUGAAUAGCCACUCCCUCCAACACCGAAACGGUGUCGUUUUGUAAUCAAAAGGGGUUUUGGGUGAGUCAAAACGGUGCCAUUUUUAACCUUUGGACCCUCCCUCUUUCUUCACUCACCAUUCCUCUCCCUUUCUCCUUCUCGCCCGAUCCUCACUGUCGCUGGCACUGCGUCACUUGCAGAUCUGGUGCCGCGCCAGCUGCCGCUCCUCUCUCUCUGGUGCCGCGCCAGCCGCCGCUCCACUCUCUCUUC